This 492-nucleotide ribosomal RNA is filed under the name uncultured bacterium. Its description in RNAcentral is "partial 16S ribosomal RNA". It matches the Rfam family "Bacterial small subunit ribosomal RNA", at positions 29 to 507 of the family's 1533-position model. The record is from RNAcentral.
AGUGAACGCUGGCGGUAGGCCUAACACAUGCAAGUCGAACGGCCGCACAGUAAGAGCUUGCUCUUACGGGUGGCGAGUGGCGGACGGGUGAGGAAUACAUCGGAAUCUACUUUUUCGUGGGGGAUAACGUAGGGAAACUUACGCUACUACCGCAUACGACCUACGGGUGAAAGCAGGGGAUAUUAGGACCUUGCGCGAUUCAAUGAGACGAUGUCGGAUUAGCUAGUUGGCGGGGUAAAGGCCCACCAAGGCGACGAUCCGUAGCUGGUCUGAGAGGAUGAUCAGCCACACUGGAACUGAGACACGGUCCAGACUCCUACGGGAGGCAGCAGUGGGGAAUAUUGGACAAUGGGCGCAAGCCUGAUCCAGCCAUACCGCGUGGGUGAAGAAGGCCUUCGGGUUGUAAAGCCCUUUUGUUGGGAAAGAAAAGCAGCAGGUUAAUACCCCGCUGUUCUGACGGUACCCAAAGAAUAAGCACCGGCUAACUUCGUG